Molecule: ribosomal RNA, 253 nt
Filed under: uncultured bacterium
Lineage: Bacteria
Description: partial 16S ribosomal RNA
Rfam family: Bacterial small subunit ribosomal RNA
Source: RNAcentral
UACGGGGGGGGCAAGCGUUGUUCGGAAUUACUGGGCGUAAAGGGCUCGUAGGUGGCCAACUAAGUCAGACGUGAAAUCCCUCAGCUUAACUGGGGAACUGCGUCUGAUACUGGAUGGCUUGAGUUUGGGAGAGGGAUGUGGAAUUCCAGGUGUAGCGGUGAAAUGCGUAGAUAUCUGGAGGAACAUCGGUGGCGAAGGCGGCAUCCUGGACCGGUAUUGACGCUGAGGCGCGAAAGCCAGGGGAGCAAACGGG